AGCGAACGCUGGCGGCAGGCCUAACACAUGCAAGUCGAACGGAUCCUUCGGGAUUAUUGGCGGACGGGUGAGUAACACGUGGGAACGUGCCCUUUUGUUCGGAACAACUCAGGGAAACUUGAGCUAAUACCGGAUGUGCCCUUCGGGGGAAAGAUUUAUCGCCAUUGGAGCGGCCCUCGUCUGAUUCGCUUGUUGGUUAGGUAACGGCCCACCAAGGCGACGAUCAGUAGCUGGUCUGAGAGGAGGAUCAGCCACACUGGGACUGAGACACGGCCCAGACACCGACGGGAGGAAGCAGAAGGGAAUCUUCCGCAAUGGGCGAAAGCCUGAUGGAGCAACGCCGCGUGAGGGAUGAAGGUCUUAGGAUCGGAAAACGCUGUGAGUAGGGAAGAACAAAUGUGUAAGUAACUAUGAACGUCUUGACGGUACCGAAUCAGAAAGCCACGGCUAACUACGUG
This 458-nucleotide ribosomal RNA is filed under the name uncultured bacterium. RNAcentral describes it as "partial 16S ribosomal RNA". It matches the Rfam family "Bacterial small subunit ribosomal RNA", at positions 29 to 507 of the family's 1533-position model. The record is from RNAcentral.